UCCCUUUUGCUUUUGCAACCCGAGGCAGGAUGUGUCCUGUCCCCAAAGAUCCAAUCUUUAUCCUCCUUGCACAUACCUCGCUGCCAAAAAAAGCUAAAGAGGCCACUGAUUGGGGCUGCCUCCUUAAAUCUUGCAUGUGUGGGAACUAGGAAGCCAUUGGUCACGGGUACCGGUUCCUGCAGUCGCUACUGUACCUGUGUCCUGUGUCCUCACUGUUUCAGUGUUUGUUCUUGUUACUUGUUACUGAUGAUGUUCUUGUGAAUGAAGGGUUGGGCCUGAGCUCAGGGGCUAGCAAGAUGCAGGGGGUGUUGUCGAGGGUGAGGGGGCCAUUCACUCCGACGCAGUGGAUGGAGCUGGAGCACCAGGCCUUGAUCUACAAGCACUUUGCUGUGAAUGCUCCGGUGCCAUCCAGCUUGCUCCUUCCCAUCAAAAGAAGUAUCAAUCCAUGGAGUGGUCUUGGCUCCAGCUCAUUAGGGUGGACAGUAUUUCCUCCUGGUUCUGGUGAUGUUGAACCAGGAAGAUGCCGUCGUCCAUUAUGCUGCCCAGAAGUUUUAUGCGACUACAGCAUUCUAUAUGCAAAAUUAGUGACUUGGGUGAUAUGAAAUUCUGAAUUUGCUUCAAUUUUUGGGUGGUUAUGUCAUUCUCAUAUUGGAGCUACAUUUUACAGUAGGGUGGACAGUAUUUCCUCCUGGUUCUGGUGAUGUUGAACCAGGAAGAUGCCGUCGUACUGAUGGCAAGAAGUGGCGUUGCUCGAGAGAUGCUAUUGGUGACCAAAAGUACUGCGAGCGACACAUAAAACGCAAUUGCCACCGUUCAAGAAAGCAUGUGGAAAGCCGAAAGGCGACACCCACCAUUGCAGAACCAUCCCUGGCUGUUUCUGGUGGACCAUCAUUGCCAAGUUAUGCUGUGCCUUGGCAGCAGCAGGUGAAAAGCUCAGCUGCUAAUGUGACUGAUCCUUUCUCAAGAGAAUCUAACAGGAAGUUGCUGGAGAAACAGAAUGUACACAGCCAGUUAUCAGUAUCAACUCCCAUGGAUUCUUUCAAUUUUUCAACCUCAGGUUCUUCCCAGAACCGUGACAUAGUAGCAUUAUCACCAGUGGAGUUUCAGCAUGAUCAUGAUCAGGCAUACCUUGUGCACGGAGUUGGCAGUUCAGCAGAAAAUGAUAAUGAGUUGCAGGAAAGUCUUUUACUAGUCUCCAAGGAAACUCUUGAUGAUGGGCCUCUAGGUGAGGUUUUUAAAAGCAAAAGUUGCCAAUCAGCAUAUGCGGACAUCUUAACUGACCAAUGGACUGCAACCCGUGAUAUGCAUUCCCCAACUGGAAUCCUACAACUGUCUAAUAGCAACACAAUGCCACUAGAGAACCACAUAAAUAGCAAUGACUAUCUUAUGGCAACAAUGGUGAAUGCUCAGACUGUCCCAACAUUCCUUUAAUUGUUCAUCAGGCCUGUCUUGUCGGAACCAUAAAUAACUGAAACUGUGUUCAUGGCAUCAGUCUGCUGAUACUAGGUUUCUAGUCUUGUCAUCUACUACUCCUGUUUUAGUUGUUACAUGUUCAAGCUAUGCCGCCUUUUCCUUUUCAGUUUAGGUGAAUUAGUCUUCUUUUGCCCUGUAAAGAAUUUGAAUUCCAAUCUGAGAUUGGGAUUCAUGUUGGUUGCCUAACAUGGAGGCAUUAUGCAAUCCUGGUUUCCAAUGGAGCAA
Panicum virgatum (switchgrass) is the source of this 1698-nucleotide RNA transcript. It is a transcript of the gene named growth-regulating factor 8-like, with no coding region annotated. The transcript has 3 exons. Lineage: Eukaryota; Viridiplantae; Streptophyta; Magnoliopsida; Poales; Poaceae. The record is from RefSeq and is a predicted model, not a curated record.